GCAACGCAUAGAUCUGGAAUAGAUCUAAAGAUAUCAGAAAAACCUCAAAAGCUAGGGUUUUAAGAGGAACCCAAACGAUGAGAAAGGCUUGGAUUUAAGCAUGAGGAGUCGAGGCCAGGCACGAAACAGGCAUGGCUCGCCGAAGUAGGCCAGAGAUGGUCGUAAAUAUUGAAUCACAGUGGUUUGGACCCAACUCUUCAUGGUUAAGUCAUGAAUCUUCAGUAACCAAACGUGAAGAGCCAUAAGAGGUUGGGUGGGUGGUUAAAGCACCAUGGAUUCAGGUCAGAAGGCGGCAAGAGAAGAUGAAGGGAACUCAUCGGAGAGGAGGGGAAUGGGGGAAGGUUCUAGAGAGAACCAGAGAUAUAGACGAGUGAGGAAAUGAGGGGUAGUGGGUGGGUGAGGGGUUGUUUGGAAUUAAAAUUGUAAGAACAUAU
RNAcentral lists this long non-coding RNA (434 nucleotides) under Nicotiana benthamiana. Its description in RNAcentral is "long non-coding RNA (NBEN_LNC029796)". The record is from RNAcentral. Lineage: Eukaryota; Viridiplantae; Streptophyta; Magnoliopsida; Solanales; Solanaceae.